RNAcentral lists this unclassified non-coding RNA (331 nucleotides) under soil metagenome. RNAcentral describes it as "partial contains 5.8S ribosomal RNA, internal transcribed spacer 2, and large subunit ribosomal RNA". The stretch from base 1 to 120 matches the Rfam family "5.8S ribosomal RNA", at positions 35 to 154 of the family's 154-position model. The record is from RNAcentral.
GAUGAAGAACGCAGCGAAAUGCGAUAAGUAAUGUGAAUUGCAGAAUUCAGUGAAUCAUCGAAUCUUUGAACGCACGUUGCGCCCCCUGGUAUUCCGGGGGGCAUGCCUGUUCGAGCGUCAUUUCACCACUCAAGCCUCGCUUGGUAUUGGGCAACGCGGUCCGCCGCGUGCCUCAAAUCGACCGGCUGGGUCUUCUGUCCCCUAAGCGUUGUGGAAACUAUUCGCUAAAGGGUGUUCGGGAGGCUACGCCGUAAAACAACCCCAUUUCUAAGGUUGACCUCGGAUCAGGUAGGGAUACCCGCUGAACUUAAGCAUAUCAAUAAGCGGAGGA